This 116-nucleotide transfer RNA is filed under the name Blattabacterium sp. (Cryptocercus punctulatus) str. Cpu. RNAcentral describes it as "tRNA-Leu". The stretch from base 1 to 89 matches the Rfam family "tRNA". From Rfam's summary of the family: Transfer RNA (tRNA) molecules are approximately 80 nucleotides in length. Lineage: Bacteria; Pseudomonadati; Bacteroidota; Flavobacteriia; Flavobacteriales; Blattabacteriaceae. The record is from RNAcentral.
ACCCACGUGGUGAAAUUGGUAAACACGCCACUUUGAGGGGGUGGUAUCCUCUAAUAAUGGAUAUGCUGGUUCGAAUCCAGUCGUGGGUACAAAGUAUUGUAUUUAUAGUAAAAAUU